RNAcentral lists this small nuclear RNA (97 nucleotides) under Propithecus coquereli (Coquerel's sifaka). Lineage: Eukaryota; Metazoa; Chordata; Mammalia; Primates; Indriidae. The record is from RNAcentral.
GUGCUCGCUUCGGCAGCACAUAUACUAAAAUUGGAAAGAUACAGAGAAGAUUAGCUUGGCCCCUGUGAAAUUAAAAAAAAAAAAAUCCUAAUACUGU